RNAcentral lists this long non-coding RNA (1295 nucleotides) under Equus caballus (horse). RNAcentral's name for it is "lncRNA (ENSECAG00000046587.1)". The record is from RNAcentral. Lineage: Eukaryota; Metazoa; Chordata; Mammalia; Perissodactyla; Equidae.
CCCCACAAACGUCCAUUUAUUUAUAAACCUACAACAUUAACCUCUCCCCUUAAAAGCUCUUGGAAACUUUCUGGUGAAAAGCAUCUCGGUUCUGUCAGAGAAACAAGCCCAGGCUGACGUCUCGUCUCCAUGUGCAUCUGCAAACCUGAUGGGGCCCUAAUCCCUCACCCAGGGACCCUCCCCUCCCUGCGCCCUCCUUCUAAGGUGUCCACCGCUGGGUGUGGGGACUCUCUGAAAGCUCUCUUAGAAAAAGUCCCAUGCUUUGAGUCAUGGUAAAAUCUGAGGGAAAUGAACGCUGCCAGAGGUUUCAGCCUCUACAUCAGCCCUUAAUCAGCCCUGCAGUUCACUGCCGCGUGAUGUCGGUCACACCGCUGUCCGGCAGGGGAGCAGGUCUCGGCACCCGCUGCUCGGCCAGAGAGGGCAGAGGGACCUGGGGAAAGUGGCCUGUCGGAGUGGGGCUCGGGCCUCGGGAAUGGGCUCCCCUGCUCCUUUCCUAAGAGUUCAAUCUUCAGCUUGUUUAUUCACCCAUUUAGUAAAUGUUUACUGGUUUCCUGUUACAGGGACCACACUAAGUGCCAGAAAUACAAUAAGUAAAAGAGAACGACCUCUGGCUCCACAGGGGCUUACAGUUCAGAGGGGGUGACAGACACUACCGAAAACGAAGGGAGCUGUGAGCUGUGAAGCAGGGGUACAUGCGCUUGACCACAUCUGGCGGCGGGGAAGCCUUCCUCUAGUAAACGAUGUCCCUCCUGUGAUCAGAAGCUUCUAGGCCGUGUACAUACCAACAGGACAGAUGGAGUAAAGGAGAGCCAGGGGGCUAAGUACAUCUUCAUUCUAGAGCAAUGGGAAGCCACCGAGAGAUGAGAACAGUGGAGCUCAACGAGGACAAAUAACUUGUCCAAGGUCACACAGAUGAGAUGAGAUUGGAACCCAGGUCUCUCGGAUUCCAAGUUCUUAGCAACAACUGGAUACUGUUGGUUCCCCGCAGGCAGGAGCCCGGUCUUUCCGCCUCUGCUCAGUUUGCUGGCGCCUGUCCACAGUCGGAGCUCCUACAGGUGACGGAUUGCUCCUCUCUGCAGGCUUCCUGUCCGCCCCCGCCCCAAUCAUAGCGACAAUCCACAGCACCUACUGCCGGCAGGGGCGUCGCAGCGCUCCACAUGCAUUGGCUCGCUGUCAUCUUCACCACGACCUGUGGAGGAGGCACUGUUACUCUCAUCCUUUUCACUUUACAGACCAGAGAAGUGAGUUCCAGAAAGGUUGAUAGCUUGGCCGAAGACACAGCAAUAAGUGACCCC